ACUGUGAUACAUUUUACUUUUCAGGAUUUUUUGAUGAGGAGAACGUUCAAAAGAACAGCAUUGGUUUCUGAAAUCUUUUGUAACAUUAUAAAUGUCUUUACUGUCACUUUUGAUCAAUUGAAUAUCAGUUAAAUUCUCUUUAAACAAAAUGAAUCAUACUGACCUCAAACCUUUGAACAGUCUUUGCUGUUCGUCUGCGUCACUUACAGUAGUGAAGCGUUUCUCUCAGCAAAGCCAAUUUUCACUUGCAUGUAUUAAUGUUGGAUUCUGCUUGUUUGUCAGAGAGAGCCAAGAGGUUUGUUUCUGUGAAAUGUAUGUACGGUCAAUUAUCUGUAGUGUUCUGAUAAACGCACAGAGAUUGCGAUUA
Cyprinus carpio (common carp) is the source of this 367-nucleotide long non-coding RNA. RefSeq lists it as uncharacterized. The record is from RefSeq and is a predicted model, not a curated record. Lineage: Eukaryota; Metazoa; Chordata; Actinopteri; Cypriniformes; Cyprinidae.